GUUACAACUUGGGGUGAGUUUUUAAAUAUUCACUGAAAAAGCUGGAGAUUGUGAUGGUUUAAACAACGUGGUAUCUAAAUAGAUUCAGAAUUUUGGAGCUCAAAGAAAAUUUUCUGCUGGAGCAUGUACACAUAAUUUGAAGUGCCAAGCUCCACAAUUGGAGACUCCCACAGAAACCAGGCCUCAUCCAGACCGUAAACUAUGUCGUGUGAAAAACCAUCCAAUCUCCUGGUCAGACUAAUUGCUUUUAAUGAUACAUAAGCAUAUUCAGCCAGUAGUGGUCCUUUAGCGCCUACAAACAAACCAAUUUCCUAAUGCGAAGUUGCGCCAGAACGUAGCUACUUUAGCAGAUGUAUUAAAUAAAAUGAUAUGGGCCAGCUACAAAAGAGCUAAGCGCUUUCAAAGCCCUCUUAGCAUAGCAGAAAGUGCCAUACAAGCGACCACCACCAUUUAGCGGCUUGGAAGUUGACUUACCACACUUAUACAACCUAGUGCAGCACGUGGGUGGCCUGAAGAAAA
This is a long non-coding RNA of Pieris rapae (cabbage white), 519 nucleotides long. RefSeq lists it as uncharacterized. The transcript has 4 exons. NCBI's taxonomy places the organism in Eukaryota, Metazoa, Arthropoda, Insecta, Lepidoptera, Pieridae. The record is from RefSeq and is a predicted model, not a curated record.